UGCCUGGUGGUUCUGGGUGGUGGAAGGCAGACGUCCUUGGUGAAGUCUUCCUCCUGGAUUGAUGUGCUGUGUCUCAGGCAGCAGCCAGAGCUGCCUUAUAGCUCAGUCCAAACUAGGAUUUGGACUAGCAUUGUGUGCUGAAAUGAAUGAGAUCUGGGCACCCAGAGCAGUUUGGCAGAUUUGAGUAUCUCAGCUGCAUAAGAAAAGUUGCAGGAAUGUUGAUUUGAUUCAUCCCUUUGAGAGCUGUGUCUUCCUGGUAGGUUAAAGCCCACAUCUGAAAGCAGCUCUACUGCUGUGUUUAUGUGGAGUAAAUGGCUGUUCUAAACACCGGCAGCUGCCUACAGACCAAAGCCUACACAGCUGGCAGAAGAGCUGUUGAUGAAAGACUAUUCUUCUGUAUGAGGUCUGGGCUUUGGUUUUACAGUUUUGAUGUUCCUUGGAAGAAGGAGUGAGAGGCAACAGUGAGAAGGAAAUGAAAGGUAGCUGAAGCCACGGGCAGCUGAGUAAAACUGCUUGGCACUACUCCAUCCUUGGGGUUAAGCUGCUGAAUGUACUCCCUUAAGUCUUAAGGGGCUGUAUUCUAGGAAUAUCACAGAAACAUAGAAAAGAUCAUAAAAUGGAAUGUUCUUCUGGGAUAUCAAGAAAGGAAUGAGAAUGCAAUGCCUUUUUACUUUACAUUUUCAUCUUGCAUCUAAAUAUAUGUCACAUUAAAGAGGGACUCUUAGCCUCUCUUGAUAACUGUAAUCAUGCUGGGACAUUGCUGUUCUCAAGGUUAAAGACAUGCGUUAACUUUGUGUGUGUUUGAAAACAAAGAA
Molecule: long non-coding RNA, 815 nt
Organism: Pezoporus flaviventris
Lineage: Eukaryota; Metazoa; Chordata; Aves; Psittaciformes; Psittacidae
Exons: 6
Source: RefSeq, a predicted model, not a curated record